RNAcentral lists this long non-coding RNA (2255 nucleotides) under Vitis vinifera (wine grape). Its description in RNAcentral is "long non-coding RNA (VVIN_LNC001791)". The record is from RNAcentral. Lineage: Eukaryota; Viridiplantae; Streptophyta; Magnoliopsida; Vitales; Vitaceae.
GAGAACAUUUACUACUACACAAACCAUGAUGGGAUUUGCCGACAUUAAAAAAGCGUCAACACUAGAGAAUAUUUACAGAGUCACUAACCAACAAAAGGGGAUAGUAUUUUCAGCAAGGCCUCAGAGCAAUUCAUCGUUCCUCUUCGUAGCAAAAAAUACAAUAAAAACCAAAAUAUCAGGAAAGCAAGACUGUCACGCCCCAAGACCCACUCCAAGGGCGUGACGGUCAUUUCACACCUCAAACCCGAAGGCUUAAAGAAUAAUCUGACCCAAACAGUCAUAUUGUAACUGGAUGAUACCAAUUACCAAAUACCUGCUCAGAGUAGCGGAAACAAAAUCUAAAAUCCUCAAAGUUCAAUUUCCAAAUAACUUCCAAAUACCAAAAGAUCCAAAAUAACAUAACUAAUAGUUAAACAAAAUCCAACAUAAAAUCCUAAGUCAAAUCCUAAUGAUGACCAUUCCUCAGCCUAGCCAUCACUCCUCACCCGAACUAAGAGUACCUGAAAAAUUUUCAACAACUGGGAAUGAGCUCACAGCCCAAUAAGGAAUAUUAAUGCAAUUCAUGGAUCAAAUAUUUUCAUUUCAAAUAGGAGAUAUCAAUUUUUUUUUUCUCAUCAAAUAUCAGAGUUUCAAAAAUACCAAUAUAUUCAAAAUUCAACCAACCAAUUUCAUAUCAAAUUCAAACACUUUCACAUCAGACUCAAUCAAAUCCAUUCAAUUUUUCAUUACUCUGGUUAUCAAAUGUCAAAUGCCCAGUUAGGUGGGACUUUUCAAAUGGGUGGCUAGCCUCAAAUUGUUCCUGGUGGACGGAACCAAACACUACUAGUACUAGUAACCUCUAACCGAAACCCCUAGAGGCUGGGGUCCAAAUCAAUUACAUUCCCACCAUGAAAUGUAAAUGUCAACUAUUAUAUCCCGUUAACAGGGCCGAAUAGUCAACUAUUAUAUCCCGUUGACAAGGGCCAAAUAAACCAGAAUGAUGUUUUUGUUCAAGUAUUCAAAUUUACACAACAUAAUAUCUUCAUAUUUUGUGUCAUAAAUAAAACAAAAUAUUCCAACAUAAUAUUUAGUGCAAAACAGUUUGAUCCAUGCAUGAUAACAAAAUAUCAUUUUCUUUUCCACAAUUCAAAAUAACAUAUAAAAUAAUUUAAUUUUAUAAAUAUUACAUUAACUUCCCUUACCUCAAAAGAAGUCCUUGAAAGCUUGGGAGAAGAAUAAUUCUGAAAAAAUAUAAUCUACUCUUCACCUAAUAUAACAUAAGAGAAACAAUUAUUACUAUUUAUUUAUGAUUUAACUAAUCUAUUCCUUAUUUAAAAAAACUAAUAAAUUCCCAAUUUGUUUCUAAUAACACCUUACUAAUUGAAUUAAAUUAUAACUUUAUUUCGUUAUAAAAUUCUAUAUAUAUAUAUUGCUAAAUCUCUUAUUCUAUUUAUUACAAAAAUACCAUUAUUACUAUUAUCUUAUUUAUAAAUCUAAAACUAAAUAUUAUUAUUUUAAUUAAUCAAUUCAAAAGCCACUCAAUGUCUCGGGUAUACCAAACAAAACCAAAAAAACAACUUUUUUUUUUUUUUUUCAUUUCCAUCAAGAUAUAAGCCAAGCCCCUUUUUCCCCACUGGAAAUUGGUGAGAAAAAACCAUUCACCCCACUGGUGGAUGAGAAAUUAUAUAUAUAUAUAUAUAUAUAAAGGCUCAUGUCUCGGGUACACCAAACCAAACAAAAAAAAAAGCAAGUUUAGUUUUUUUUUUUUUUCCUUUCAUUGCCAUCAUCAUGCUUUAUAUAUAUAUAUAUAUAUAUAUAUAUAUAUAUAAAGGCUCCUUCCAGCACAGUACACGUCUGUGCACACGCGUUCUCCCUUUCUUUUUUUUUUUUCUUUCUUUUUUUUUUUUUAACAUUUUCUAAUCUCUUCAACCACAAAUAACAAUAUAUUUAUUUAUUUAUUUUUAUAUAAAAUUAACCCUAACCUAAAAUCAAAACCUUCCAAGGAAAUUUUUUUUUUUUCUAAUAAAACUUAAGAUCUCCCAAAUUCCAAUACUAAAAUCAAAAUCUUAGAUUUUCACUAUUUGAUAUUAAAACGAAUUAAAAAAAAAAUAAUCUAACCCUAAUCUAGAUUUGGGGUUUUCCAAAAAAAUAUAUCUAAUGUGUUUGAAAUUAAUCAAUAAAUCUAAAAUAUUAAACUAGGGGUUAGAAUCUUACCUAUAGAGAUCUGUUCUUCAACCCUGAAAUCUGACUCCAACUUUACGUUCUCUGGAAUUCUG